This 449-nucleotide ribosomal RNA is filed under the name uncultured bacterium. RNAcentral describes it as "partial 16S ribosomal RNA". It matches the Rfam family "Bacterial small subunit ribosomal RNA", at positions 29 to 523 of the family's 1533-position model. The record is from RNAcentral.
AGCGAACGCUGGCGGCAGGCCUAACACAUGCAAGUCGAACGAACUCCUCGGAGUUAGUGGCGGACGGGUGAGUAACACGUGGGAACGUGCCUUUAGGUUCGGAAUAACUCAGGGAAACUUGUGCUAAUACCGAAUGUGCCCUUCGGGGGAAAGAUUUAUCGCCUUUAGAGCGGCCCGCGUCUGAUUAGCUAGUUGGUGAGGUAAAGGCUCACCAAGGCGACGAUCAGUAGCUGGUCUGAAAGGAUGAUCAGCCACAUUGGGACUGAGACACGGCCCAAACUCCUACGGGAGGCAGCAGUGGGGAAUCUUGCGCAAUGGGCGAAAGCCUGACGCAGCCAUGCCGCGUGAAUGAUGAAGGCCUUAGGAUUGUAAAAUUCUUUCACCGGGGACGAUAAUGACGGUACCCGGAGAAGAAGCCCCGGCUAACUUCGUGCCAGCAGCCGCAGUAA